AGUCACUUUGUCUUUAUGGCAAAUGUGAGAUGCAGUGUAUGGAAUGUCAAAUUUCUAAUAUGAGAAAUUAACGAUUUAAGUCCUUCUUAAAUGAGGCCAUUUACCCAAAGAGGGUGCCAGGCCCGUAUAACGUUAAUGAUUAUUAGAUGGCAUUUCCAAAGAGUCGUGUUGCUUGAUAGUGCAGCACUAAGUGGGUGGUAAACUCCAUCUAAAACUAAAUAUAACCAUGAGACCGAUAGUAAACAAGUACCGUGAGGGAAAGUUGAAAAGAACUCUGAAUAGAGAGUUAAAUAGUACGUGAAACUGCUUAGAGGUUAAGCCCGAUGAACCUGAAUAUCCGUUAUGGAAAAUUCAUCAUUAUGAUUUUAAUAUUUAUAAUAUUAUAAUAAUGGUGUGCAUUUUUUCUAUAAAGGACAUUGUAAUCUAUUAACAUAAAUAAAUUUAUCAUAAGAUCAUUUGCGUAAGUUUAUUCAAAUUAUUUUGCUUGCAUUUUAAUAUCGAAUAAAUGCUUUUGAUUUGAUAAAGUGUUGAUAGAUUUAUUAUAUACAGUGCUUAAAUAUUUAUAUUUUAUAAUAGCAUAUUAAUCAAUGAUUUUUAUGUUCAUUAUAUGCACUUGUAUGAUUAACAAUGCGAAAGAUUCAGGAUACCUUCGGGACCCGUCUUGAAACACGGACCAAGGAGUCUAACAUAUUUGCAAGUUAUUGGGAAUAAAAACCUAAUAGCGAAAUUAACAUAACUUUAUUUAAUGGGAUUAGUUUUUAGCCUAUUUAUAGUCUAUUAAUUCAAUCCCGGGGCGUUCUAUACAGUUAUGUAUAAUAAUAUUUAUAUUAUUUAUACCUCUAACUAGAGCGUACCUUGAGCAUAUAUGCUGUGACCCGAAAGAUGGUGAACUAUACUUGAUCAGGUUGAAGUCAGGGGAAACCCUGAUGGAAGACCGAAACAGUUCUGACGUGCAAAUCGAUUGUCAGAAUUGAGUAUAGGGGCGAAAGACCAAUCGA
Molecule: ribosomal RNA, 998 nt
Filed under: Hypopygiopsis violacea
Lineage: Eukaryota; Metazoa; Arthropoda; Insecta; Diptera; Calliphoridae
Description: eukaryotic LSU rRNA
Rfam family: Eukaryotic large subunit ribosomal RNA
Source: RNAcentral